UGCCAACGUAAGAAAUAGCUUUCCCUA
This 27-nucleotide non-coding RNA is filed under the name Mus musculus (house mouse). The record is from RNAcentral. Lineage: Eukaryota; Metazoa; Chordata; Mammalia; Rodentia; Muridae.